Xiphophorus hellerii (green swordtail) is the source of this 366-nucleotide long non-coding RNA. RefSeq lists it as uncharacterized. Lineage: Eukaryota; Metazoa; Chordata; Actinopteri; Cyprinodontiformes; Poeciliidae. The record is from RefSeq and is a predicted model, not a curated record. The transcript has 3 exons.
UUGUGGGUUCUUUUUUUUCGCCUGCUGCUUCACUGUUCUACCCACUAGAGGGCGCCAGUGGCCAUCGCCAUGGUGAGGCGUGUCCCACGCUGCAGCGCACCUGUGUUGUAUCAGCUCAUCAUCUCCGGGAUUCUUAAGGAGCAGACUGCCAGCACUUCAUCGCCUGAGUGUUAUGCCAGUAAUGGUGUUUCCUCGUGAGUUCCCGAGAAGAUUCCAUUUUGGUUUCUUGGAUUCCCUUUUUCGUGACGCCGUGGAUUAUACCCACUGGUCGCCCGAGCCCCACCGUCAUCUCCUCCGUCUGAUCCCUAGCAGACUCCACAUAUCUUCAGCUGGCUGUCGGAACGCUCCUCCGUUUAAACAAAACUG